RNAcentral lists this ribosomal RNA (491 nucleotides) under uncultured bacterium. Its description in RNAcentral is "bacterial SSU rRNA". It matches the Rfam family "Bacterial small subunit ribosomal RNA", at positions 21 to 518 of the family's 1533-position model. The record is from RNAcentral.
GGUUCAGGACGAACGCUGGCGGCGUGCCUAACACAUGCAAGUCGAGCGGUCCAGCACACAAUUUUAAUUGAGUGCUGGAUAGCGGCGGACGGGUGGGUAACGCGUGAGCAAUCUGCCUCGUACAGGGGGAUAACAGCCGGAAACGGUUGCUAAUACCCCAUGAGACCACAAUAUCGCAUGGUAAAGAGGUCAAAGGAGUAAUCCGGUAUGAGAUGAGCUCGCGUCCCAUUAGCUAGUUGGUGGAGUAACGGUUCACCAAGGCGACGAUGGGUAGCCGACCUGAGAGGGUGAUCGGCCACACUGGGACUGAGACACGGCCCAGACUCCUACGGGAGGCAGCAGUGGGGAAUAUUGCGCAAAUGGGGGGAACCCUGACGCAGCAACGCCGCGUGAGUGAAGAAGGUCUUCGGGUCGUAAAACUCUGUCAUUGGGGAAGAAAAAAUGACGGUACCCAAUGAGGAAGCCCCGGCUAACUACGUGCCAGCCGCCGC